RNAcentral lists this ribosomal RNA (702 nucleotides) under Mortierella alpina. RNAcentral describes it as "eukaryotic LSU rRNA". It matches the Rfam family "Eukaryotic large subunit ribosomal RNA", at positions 92 to 649 of the family's 3401-position model. The record is from RNAcentral. Lineage: Eukaryota; Fungi; Mortierellomycota; Mortierellomycetes; Mortierellales; Mortierellaceae.
AGUGAAGCGGGAUGAGCUCAAAUUUAAAAUCUGGCUGGUUUACUAGUCCGAAUUGUAGUUUAAAGAAGCGUUUUCGGUGGCAGCCUGGGUAUAAAUCCUUUGGAAUAGGGUAUCAUAGAGGGUGAGAAUCCCGUCUUUGACUCAGUGAAUGCUACUAUGUGAUACGUUUUCAAAGAGUCGAGUUGUUUGGGAAUGCAGCUCAAAAUGGGUGGUAAAUUUCAUCUAAAGCUAAAUAUUGGCGAGAGACCGAUAGCGAACAAGUACCGUGAGGGAAAGAUGAAAAGAACUUUGAAAAGAGAGUUAAACAGUACGUGAAAUUGUUGAAAGGGAAACGUUUGACACCAGUCAUGCGGGUGGAAAAUCAGUCUUUUAGAGUAGGGAGUGGUGGGGGUUCAGACCGCAAGGCUGGCCUUUAUCUCAUCUCUGCGCUAAUGGAUGCACUUUUUCAUUUGCAGGUCAACAUCAGUUUCUUCUGCUGGACAAAACUCCGAGAGAAGGUAGCAGCUUUGGCUGUGUUAUAGCUCUGGAGCGAUACAGUGGAGGGGACUGAGGUUUUCGCAGUGUGUGCUCUCGGGCAAGGUUGAUUGGGUGCUAUGUGAUCGUUCGGUGUACAAUGCAUGCAUUUUGCGCCGUGUCUUUUGCAUACUCGCCUGACUCGACUCUUCCACGCUUAGGAUGUUGACUUAAUGGUUUUAAACGACC